ACGAACGCUGGCGGCGUGCCUAAUACAUGCCAGUCGAACGGUUCGUUCCUCCCGAGUUCUUGCACUCAAUUGGCGAGAGGAGGGGCGGACGGGGAAGUAACACGUGGUUAACUUACCCAUCAGAGGGGGAAAACACAUGGAAACCGGUGCUAAUACCGCACAACAGGUUAUGGCGCGUGACAUUAGGGCGAUUGGCGCUUUCGGGUGGCGUUGUCGGAUGGACCCACGGGGCAUUAGCUAGUUGGGGGGGUAACGGCUCACCAAGGCCACGAUGCAUAGCCGACCUGAGAGGAUGAUCGGCCACACUGGAACUGAGACACGGCCCAGACUCCUACGGGAGGCACCAGUAGGGAAUAUUCGGCAAUGGGCGAAAGUAUGACCGAGCAACGCCGCGUGAGUGAAGAAGGUUUUCGGAUCGUAAAGCUCUGUUGUUAGGGAAGAACAGCGGCGUUAGUAACUGAACGUCCCCUGACGGUAUCUAACCAGAAAGCAACGGCUAACUACGUG
This 507-nucleotide ribosomal RNA is filed under the name uncultured bacterium. RNAcentral's name for it is "partial 16S ribosomal RNA". It matches the Rfam family "Bacterial small subunit ribosomal RNA", at positions 29 to 507 of the family's 1533-position model. The record is from RNAcentral.